Molecule: ribosomal RNA, 1321 nt
Filed under: metagenome
Description: bacterial LSU rRNA
Rfam family: Bacterial large subunit ribosomal RNA
Source: RNAcentral
UUCAGAUAACGAGAGACCGUACCCCAAACCGACACAGGUGGUCAGGUAGAGAAUACCAAGGCGCUUGAGAGAACUCUGGUGAAGGAACUAGGCAAAAUAGCACCGUAACUUCGGGAGAAGGUGCGCUGCUGACGGUGAAGGCCUUGCGCCGUAAGCUGUUGGCAGCCGAAGUAACCAGGCCGCUGCGACUGUUUAUUAAAAACACAGCACUCUGCAAACACGAAAGUGGACGUAUAGGGUGUGACGCCUGCCCGGUGCCGGAAGGUUAAUUGAUGGGGUCAGCCGCAAGGCGAAGCUCUUGAUCGAAGCCCCGGUAAACGGCGGCCGUAACUAUAACGGUCCUAAGGUAGCGAAAUUCCUUGUCGGGUAAGUUCCGACCUGCACGAAUGGCGUAACGAUGGCGGCGCUGUCUCCACCAGAGACUCAGUGAAAUCGAAAUCGCGGUGAAGAUGCCGUGUACCCGUGGCUAGACGGAAAGACCCCGUGAACCUUUACUGUAGCUUCACACUGGACUUUGACAUGAUCUGUGAAGGAUAGCUGGGAGGCUUUGAAGUGGUGACGCCAGUUGCCAUGGAGCCGUCCUUGAAAUACCAGCCUGGUCCUGUCGGGGUUCUAACGUCGACCUGUUAUCCAGGUUACGGACAGUGUGUGGUGGGCAGUUUGACUGGGGCGGUCUCCUCCCAAAGAGUAACGGAGGAGCACGAAGGUGCGCUAAUCACGGUCGGAAAUCGUGAGGUUAGUGUAAAGGCACAAGCGCGCUUGACUGCGAGACAGACAAGUCGAGCAGGUACGAAAGUAGGUCUUAGUGAUCCGGUGGUUCUGUAUGGAAGGGCCAUCGCUCAACGGAUAAAAGGUACUCCGGGGAUAACAGGCUGAUACCGCCCAAGAGUUCAUAUCGACGGCGGUGUUUGGCACCUCGAUGUCGGCUCAUCACAUCCUGGGGCUGAAGCCGGUCCCAAGGGUAUGGCUGUUCGCCAUUUAAAGUGGUACGCGAGCUGGGUUUAGAACGUCGUGAGACAGUUCGGUCCCUAUCUGCCAUGGGCGUUGGAGAUUUGAGAAGAGUUGCUCCUAGUACGAGAGGACCGGAGUGAACGAACCUCUGGUGUACCGGUUGUCACGCCAGUGGCAUUGCCGGGUAGCUAAGUUCGGACGGGAUAACCGCUGAAAGCAUCUAAGCGGGAAGCCUCCUUCAAGAUGAGAUCUCCCUGGAGCUUUAAGCUCCCUAAAGGGCCGUCGAAGACUACGACGUUGAUAGGCGAGGUGUGGAAGCGUUGUGAGACGUUGAGCUGACUCGUACUAAUUGCCCGUGCGGCUUGACUAA